This 274-nucleotide ribosomal RNA is filed under the name uncultured bacterium. RNAcentral's name for it is "partial 16S ribosomal RNA". It matches the Rfam family "Bacterial small subunit ribosomal RNA", at positions 523 to 796 of the family's 1533-position model. The record is from RNAcentral.
AUACGAAGGGGGCAAGCGUUAUUCGGAAUCACUGGGCGUAAAGGACGCGUAGGCGGGUUUGUAAGUCAGGUGUGAAAUCCUACAGCUCAACUGUAGAACUGCACUUGAAACUACAGACCUAGAGUAUGGAAGGGGCAGAUGGAAUUAGUGGUGUAGGGGUAAAAUCCGUAGAUAUCACUAGGAAUACCGAAAGCGAAGGCGAUCUGCUGGGACAUUACUGACGCUGAGGCGUGAAAGCGUGGGGAGCAGACAGGAUUAGAAACCCUAGUAGUCC